Molecule: ribosomal RNA, 501 nt
Filed under: uncultured bacterium
Lineage: Bacteria
Description: bacterial SSU rRNA
Rfam family: Bacterial small subunit ribosomal RNA
Source: RNAcentral
UCAGUGCCGCAGCUAACGCAUUAAGCAUUCCGCCUGGGGAGUACGACCGCAAGGUUGAAACUCAAAGGAAUUGACGGGGACCCGCACAAGCGGUGGAGCAUGUGGUUUAAUUCGAUGCUACGCGAAGAACCUUACCAGGACUUGACAUCUUCUGUUAACCUAAGAGAUUAGGUGUCCCCUUCGGGGGCAGAAUGACAGGUGGUGCAUGGUUGUCGUCAGCUCGUGUCGUGAGAUGUUGGGUUAAGUCCCGCAACGAGCGCAACCCUUGUCUUUAGUUGCCAGCAUUAAGUUGGGCACUCUAGAGAGACUGCCGGUGAUAAACCGGAGGAAGGUGGGGAUGACGUCAAAUCAUCAUGCCCCUUAUGUCCUGGGCUACACACGUGCUACAAUGGACGGUACAACGAGUCGCGAAACCGCAAGGUCAAGCUAAUCUCUUAAAGCCGUUCUCGGUUCGGAUUGUAGGCUGCAACUCGCCUACAUGAAGUGGAAUCGCUAGUAAUC